AGGAGCCAGCAGGGGAGAGGUUCCUGCACAGCAUUAGAUGUGUCUGACUUCUAAGGAAAAUGAGACUCCAGACACAUUGAUGGGGCAUCAACAAGACUGUGGAUAGGAAAUGAGUGAGCUGCCAACUAUUGAGCUGCUGAGCCGGAGACCACAAGACUCCACUUCUGUCCCCAUCAUCGCAGAGCCCUGCCAUCUGGAGCAGACCUCUGAGGAGAACUCAGGUCAGUGUGUCCUCAGGCCCAGACACUGAGUAGGAACCAGCAGGGAGCACUGGUGAACCCCAGCCAUUCUGCAAGUGUCCCCUCUGGGCCCAUGACUGCCAUCCUGAUGUGGCUCCUGACAUUGAAAGCCACCUGUAGGGGUGAGGGGGUGGUACAGGCAGGGACCAAGACCCACCCACAGUCCAACUUGGGGACACUUCCUGUUGUGAA
Erinaceus europaeus (western European hedgehog) is the source of this 431-nucleotide long non-coding RNA. RefSeq lists it as uncharacterized. The transcript has 3 exons. The record is from RefSeq and is a predicted model, not a curated record. NCBI's taxonomy places the organism in Eukaryota, Metazoa, Chordata, Mammalia, Eulipotyphla, Erinaceidae.